RNAcentral lists this ribosomal RNA (253 nucleotides) under uncultured bacterium. RNAcentral's name for it is "partial 16S ribosomal RNA". It matches the Rfam family "Bacterial small subunit ribosomal RNA", at positions 524 to 776 of the family's 1533-position model. The record is from RNAcentral.
UACGUAGGGAGCAAGCGUUGUCCGGAUUCACUGGGUGUAAAGGGUGCGCAGGCGGGAAAGUAAGUCAGAGGUGAAAUCUCACAGCUUAACUGUGAAACUGCCUUUGAUGCUGCUUUUCUUGAGUUCGGGAGAGGUUGAUGGAAUUCCAGGUGUAGCGGUGAAAUGCGUAGAUAUCUGGAGGAACACCGGUGGCGAAGGCGGCAUCCUGGACCGACACUGACGCUGAGGAGCGAAAGCCAGGGGAGCAAACGGG